UUUGAUCCUGGCUCAGAUUGAACGCUGGCGGCAUGCCUUACACAUGCAAGUCGAACGGUAACAGGUCUUCGGAUGCUGACGAGUGGCGAACGGGUGAGUAAUACAUCGGAACGUGCCCGAUCGUGGGGGAUAACGCAGCGAAAGCUGUGCUAAUACCGCAUACGAUCUACGGAUGAAAGCAGGGGACCGCAAGGCCUUGCGCGGACGGAGCGGCCGAUGGCAGAUUAGGUAGUUGGUGGGAUAAAAGCUUACCAAGCCGACGAUCUGUAGCUGGUCUGAGAGGACGACCAGCCACACUGGGACUGAGACACGGCCCAGACUCCUACGGGAGGCAGCAGUGGGGAAUUUUGGACAAUGGGGGAAACCCUGAUCCAGCCAUGCCGCGUGCAGGAUGAAGGCCUUCGGGUUGUAAACUGCUUUUGUACGGAACGAAAAGAUCUCUUCUAAUAAAGGGGGUCCAUGACGGUACCGUAAGAAUAAGCACCGGCUAAACUACGUGCC
Molecule: ribosomal RNA, 501 nt
Filed under: uncultured bacterium
Lineage: Bacteria
Description: bacterial SSU rRNA
Rfam family: Bacterial small subunit ribosomal RNA
Source: RNAcentral